RNAcentral lists this ribosomal RNA (491 nucleotides) under uncultured bacterium. RNAcentral describes it as "partial 16S ribosomal RNA". It matches the Rfam family "Bacterial small subunit ribosomal RNA", at positions 29 to 506 of the family's 1533-position model. The record is from RNAcentral.
AGUGAACGCUGGCGGUAGGCCUAACACAUGCAAGUCGAACGGCAGCACAGUAAGAGCUUGCUCUUACGGGUGGCGAGUGGCGGACGGGUGAGGAAUACAUCGGAAUCUACUUUUUCGUGGGGGAUAACGUAGGGAAACUUACGCUAAUACCGCAUACGACCUACGGGUGAAAGCAGGGGAUCUUCGGACCUUGCGCGAUUGAAUGAGCCGAUGUCGGAUUAGCUAGUUGGCGGGGUAAAGGCCCACCAAGGCGACGAUCCGUAGCUGGUCUGAGAGGAUGAUCAGCCACACUGGAACUGAGACACGGUCCAGACUCCUACGGGAGGCAGCAGUGGGGAAUAUUGGACAAUGGGCGCAAGCCUGAUCCAGCCAUACCGCGUGGGUGAAGAAGGCCUUCGGGUUGUAGAGCCCUUUUGUUGGGAAAGAAAAGCAGCAGGUUAAUACCCCGCUGUUCUGACGGUACCCAAAGAAUAAACACCGGCUAACUUCGU